AUUGAACGCUGGCGGCAGGCCUAACACAUGCAAGUCGAACGGUAACAGGAAGCAGCUUGCUGCUUUGCUGACGAGUGGCGGACGGGUGAGUAAUGUCUGGGAAACUGCCUGAUGGAGGGGGAUAACUACUGGAAACGGUAGCUAAUACCGCAUAACGUCGCAAGACCAAAGAGGGGGACCUUCGGGCCUCUUGCCAUCGGAUGUGCCCAGAUGGGAUUAGCUAGUAGGUGGGGUAACGGCUCACCUAGGCGACGAUCCCUAGCUGGUCUGAGAGGAUGACCAGCCACACUGGAACUGAGACACGGUCCAGACUCCUACGGGAGGCAGCAGUGGGGAAUAUUGCACAAUGGGCGCAAGUCUGAUGCAGCCAUGCCGCGUGUAUGAAGAAGGCCUUCGGGUUGUAAAGUACUUUCAGCGGGGAGGAAGGGAGUAAAGUUAAUACCUUUGCUCAUUGACGUUACCCGCAGAAGAAGCACCGGCUAACUCCGUG
Molecule: ribosomal RNA, 490 nt
Filed under: uncultured bacterium
Lineage: Bacteria
Description: partial 16S ribosomal RNA
Rfam family: Bacterial small subunit ribosomal RNA
Source: RNAcentral